UUUCGCAAUGCCCGAAAGGGUGACGAAGCGACGCCGCGUGCGGGAGGAAGGCCUUCGGGUUGUAAACCGCUGUCGGGAGUUAAGAAAUGCAAGGAUGUUAAUAGCGUUCUUGCUUGACUAAGGCUCCGGAGGAAGCCACGGCUAACUCUGUGCCAGCAGCCGCGGUAAUACAGAGGCGGCAAGCGUUGUUCGGAAUUAUUGGGCGUAAAGAGCACGUAGGCGGCUAUGUAAGUCGGUUGUGAAGGCCUUCCGCUCAACGGAAGAACUGCAUCCGAUACUGCAUAGCUUGAGUGCGGGAGGGGAGAGUGGAACUUCUGGUGGAGCGGUGAAAUGCGUAGAUAUCAGAAGGAACGCCGGCGGCGAAAGCGACUCUCUGGCCCGCAACUGACGCUGAGUGUGCGAAAGCUAGGGGAGCAAACGGGAUUAGAUACCCCGGUAGUCCUAGCCGUAAACGAUGGGCACUAAGUAGAGGGGUUUU
This 478-nucleotide ribosomal RNA is filed under the name uncultured Planctomycetales bacterium. RNAcentral's name for it is "bacterial SSU rRNA". It matches the Rfam family "Bacterial small subunit ribosomal RNA", at positions 364 to 832 of the family's 1533-position model. Lineage: Bacteria; Pseudomonadati; Planctomycetota; Planctomycetia; Planctomycetales. The record is from RNAcentral.